AACCCCUAGGAAAGCAAUGGAAACUACUAGACUAGAGUAUGGCAGGGGUAGAGGGAAUUUUCUAGUGUAGCGGUGAAAUGCGUAGAUAUUAGAAAGAACACCGGUGGCGAAAGCGCUCUACUGGACCAUUACUGACACUCAGAGGCGAAAGCUAGGGUAGCAAAAGGGAUUAGAUACCCCCUGUAGUCCUAGCCGUAAACGAUGGAUACUAGAUGUUGUGCUUCAUGUACAGUAUCGUAGCUAACGCGUUAAGUAUCCCGCCUGGGGAGUACGCUCGCAAGGGUGAAACUCAAAGGAAUUGACGGGGGCCCGCACAAGCGGUGGAGCAUGUGGUUUAAUUCGAUGCAACGCGAAGAACCUUACCAGGGCUUGACAUACUACAAAUUCUUUUGAGAAAAAGAAGUGCCUUCGGGAAUGUAGAUACAGGUGGUGCAUGGCUGUCGUCAGCUCGUGUCGUGAGAUGUUGGGUUAAGUCCCGCAACGAGCGCAACCCUUAUUUUUAGUUACCAAUUCGUUGGGUUCUCUAGAAAGACUGCCGGUGACAAACCGGAGGAAGGUGAGGAUGACGUCAAGUCAGCAUGCCCCUUAUGUCCUGGGCUACACACGUGCUACAAUGGCUAAGACAAAGAGUCGCGAACUUGCAAGAGUCAGCUAAUCUCAUAAACUUAGUCUAAGUUCAGAUUGUAGGCUGCAACUCGCCUACAUGAAGUUGGAAUCGCUAGUAAUCGCUGGUCAGCCAUACAGCGGUGAAUUCGUUCCCGGGCCUUGUACACACCGCCCGUCACACCAUGGGAGCUGGUCAUGCCCGAAACCGUUUGCUUAACCUUUUGGAGAGCGGCGUCUAAGGUAGGGCUGGUGACUGGGGUGAAGUCGUAACAAGGUAA
This 884-nucleotide ribosomal RNA is filed under the name uncultured bacterium. Its description in RNAcentral is "bacterial SSU rRNA". It matches the Rfam family "Bacterial small subunit ribosomal RNA", at positions 610 to 1499 of the family's 1533-position model. The record is from RNAcentral.